GGAUUGUGGCUCAGCGGUAGAGUGCUCGUCUUGCACACGCGGGACCCUGGAUUCAAUCCUCAGCACCA
Molecule: transfer RNA, 68 nt
Filed under: Marmota monax (woodchuck)
Lineage: Eukaryota; Metazoa; Chordata; Mammalia; Rodentia; Sciuridae
Description: tRNA.Ala
Source: RNAcentral